This 405-nucleotide ribosomal RNA is filed under the name uncultured bacterium. Its description in RNAcentral is "bacterial SSU rRNA". It matches the Rfam family "Bacterial small subunit ribosomal RNA", at positions 355 to 774 of the family's 1533-position model. The record is from RNAcentral.
UGGGGAAUAUUGCACAAUGGGCGAAAGCCUGAUGCAGCAACGCCGCGUGAAGGAAGAAGGGUUUCGGCUCGUAAACUUCUAUCAACAGGGACGAAAAAAAUGACGGUACCUGAAUAAGAAGCCCCGGCUAACUACGUGCCAGCAGCCGCGGUAAUACGUAGGGGGCAAGCGUUAUCCGGAAUUACUGGGUGUAAAGGGAGAGUAGGCGGCAUGGUAAGUUAGAUGUGAAAGCCCGAGGCUUAACCUCGGGAUUGCAUUUAAAACUAUCAAGCUAGAGUACAGGAGAGGUAAGUGGAAUUCCUAGUGUAGCGGUGAAAUGCGUAGAUAUUAGGAAGAACACCAGUGGCGAAGGCGACUUACUGGACUGAAACUGACGCUGAGGCUCGAAAGCGUGGGGAGCGAACA